UUUAUGAACUGGAGUAUCCUGUGCAGUCUCCACUCAACCCACUAUGAGAAAAACAUCAAACUCCAAUUCUUCAGUGUUCCUGCCGGUCCUCCUCAGAACAGCCAAGGUCAAGGUCAUUCAACACAGGAAAGUCUGAGAAUCCAUCACCACCAAGAGGAGUCUAAGGAGAACUGAGGAUUGAGGGCCAUGGGGUGUCCCGGCUGGGGUCCGGGGUAGAGACGGAUUUUAGGUAAAGACUAGAGAACCCCGAAUAAAGCGUGGGCUUCAGUGAAGCACUCCUGUGAGUCAGUACUGCUCUGUGAACUGGGGCGGAUGCACAGAGGAACACGAUCUAAUAAUGGGAAAAGAGGAGAUGGGGUGUGGGCUAUGUAGGAACUCUGUGCUAUCUUUACAAUUUUUCUACAAGUUCAUUAUUUUAAAAUUAAAAAUUUAGGAAGAAAAACAACAACAAAAACAUUCCCAGGGGAUUCCAUUGUCCAGUGGGCAUUAGAAUGUUGUUGUUGUUGUAAUUUGUUUAUUGUCACGUUAGCCAUUAUUUAUUAUUAUGUCACAUAUGUGAGACCACAAGGGCUGCUCCCCGCAUACCGGUGGCCCCCCCAGUUAGCUGCCUUGGGGAGGGGAGGAAGACCACCAGAGCCCAGGGUGGGGGCGAGGCGGCUCCCGGAGGCUCCCCUGCCCCUCCCAGUCCUCACCUCCUCCUCCCUGAGUGGCCUGGUGGGAUGGAAGGUGUCUGUGGCCGGCUGCCCAGAACACCAAGAAGGGCCCUCUUCCUCCUUGAACUUGAGCCAGCCCCUGGCGUCUUUCUCGGGGCCAGAGCUUUGCCUCUAAAUGGUCUUUGUUUGCAGACGAUCUGCUGUGCAGAUCAUGAACCGUCGCCGCAGUGCCAGACAGACUCUUCAUCCGGACCGGCCGUCCCACUGGGUCCCCUCAGGAAAGCGCAGAAGCCGGGGACCCCAAACCGCGUCCAGCUCCUCCCACCCGCCCUUCUCGGAGCCGCGCACUUGGUAACUUGCGUGUGAAGAACUCACGGCCGUGUUGCCAGGAAACUGCGGGGAGCAGCCUUUGUGGUCUCACAUAUGCGUAACAUAAUAAUAAAUAACGGUUAACGUGAUAAUAAAUAAACAAAUAACAAUAAUUAUAACGUGCCCCAAGCCUGUUGUUUCUCCAAAAUUAAUUUAUGAUGAAUUACGACUCGAAUUCCUCGGAACAUACCAGUGGGAAGAGGAGAGGGGGCUAUUUUAUUUGCCACUGGGCUCAGAGUAGGGUUAAGAACUGUCUUUCCCUGAGCCAGACCUUGUCCCAGGUCCCUGGUAACCCAGGGAAGGUCGCCAGAGAGGAAUUCUCUCUUUCCCUCUGCUUCUCACAUCUCCUCCUCUGCCUAGGACAGUGAAGUUUUUUAGAUACUUUACUUGCAUUUCUAAUUCAGUUAUUCUUCUGAAAUUUAUUCAAAGGAUUUAUGCUUAUGAAAUUAUAAUAUAAUGCUGCCUAUAUGCCAAUGAGCUGGAGGCAAAGAAAAUAAUUUUCUUCAAUUUACAGUUAUGAGGCUGGAGGAAAAUGAUGCCUUCUUAUCACCUCUUUCUCUUUGUAUGUCUCGGUAUUUUUUUAAGUCUUCAGAAGGCAGGAGCUGAUGAUGAAUUCUUAAGCAGAUCACACUGAUAAUUGUAUUUCAGAGCUGUCAGCGCUGGGAAGACUGGCCAGCGACUGUCUCCAUGCACUUGAGCUAUUUGUGUCGCUGCCUUCCUUCUCAGGAACUCAGCCCUCAAUAAAGCCAACUCGCUGGGGAUAUUGUUAAAUCGUCUGAGAGGAUUAUUAGAUCGAAGGGAAAUUUAUGGAUGACACUUUGUAACAAUUAAUCAGGAACUGUUGAUGAAGUUUAAGUUGGUUCUUUAUUCCUGGACCAAAAAAAUAUAUAUAUACGUAUAUAGAUGUGUGUGUAUAUAUAUAUAUACACACACACAUAUAUAAAAUCAUAAUAAUAUUCAGCCCUUGUUCCAAUUGUCAAAUGGCUCAUUUUGUCACUCUGUUUGAUUAAUGAACCUUUUGGAGUCCCCCAAAAGUCCUAGUAAUACAAAUAAAGAGAAUCAUAAAUAUUGAAUAAGCUCACAGCACAGUUAACCUUGACUACAUUUUGGGACAUACUUGGAGAAACUUUGCUAUACGGAAAAUAAAUUGCUGUGGGGAUUAAAAAAAUAUGCACACCCAUACCAAAUUGGAGAUUUUGGAGAAUGUCACCUCUCUGACCUUGUCACUCUUAAUAAUCUGUUGUGAUUAAUUAGUUUAGUUAGCUUUACAAUCAGGUCAGCAGAGCGCCGGCAUGCUGGCGUGUUUUACCGAUGGGUCCCUGCCCAGCCCAGAAAGGGAUGCGGGCUGGGGUGAGGGAGGGUCUGGAGCUAAUGGGGCUGGUGUUCUAACCUCACAAGGUACUAAACGAGGGUGAUGGGUGAGGACGAUUUCAGGUCGUAAUUUACGGAGCAGGGCCCUGGGUGGGGGCAGGGAGCCUUCAUUGUGUGUUGGUUCUUGUGUUGAGUGCACUCACCCUUCUCAGGCAAAGAUCCCCCCUCACCAGCUUGGAGCUUUUGCUGACACCCCUUCAAAGUUCUGAUUCCAGAUCUGACCAGUUAUUUGACCCAGAAAACAGAUUCUAACUAGGCUGUAAUGACUUGCAAUUUUUGAAUGUAGCAUCUAGUCCAGGGGUUAAGAUUCCAGGGUAAGAGAGAAGUGGAUUUGAGUUCUCCUCUGCCGUAUCAGAGCCGUGUGGCCCUGGGCGGUUGGCUUUGACUUUCCGAGUCUCGGUUUCCUUAUCUGUAAAAUGGAGUUUCUACAUCCUAGGAUUUUUACAAGGAUGAAGUGAAACAAUUCAAAGAAACAGCUUGGCCAAAUGUCCAGCAUGCAAUACUCUGCAGUGGGUAGGACUGUGUCGUCCUGCAAUAGAAGUUGAAGUCCUAACCCCUGAGACCUGUGAAGGUGACCACUAGGGUACGCCUUAAGCCAAUGACUGGUGUCCUUAUAUAAGAAUCUGGACACAGUCACGGGGAAGACAGCCACACAAAGCCAGAGGCAGAGAUCGGAAGAUGCAGCUGCAGGCCAAGGACGGCCAGAAUUCACGGAGCCGAAGCGCCGGAGAAGCCAGGAAGGAUCUUCCCACAGAGCCUUCGGAGGGGCGGGGCCCUGCCGACACCUGGGUUUUGGAUUUCUAGUCUCUAGGACUGUGAGAAUACAUUUCCGCCGCUUCCAGCCAUGUUUUCCGUCAUUUGUGAAGGCAGCCUUUGGAAACUGAUACGUGCUGUAGGGUCACUGUGAUCUGGUUUGCAGGGAACAAGUAAGGUGGGGCUGAGGACUUGGCCUGAUGUGCCUGGCACUCGGUUUCUUGCUCCCCCUGAAUAGUCCUGAUCAUGCCAGCUGCCGCCCCACGCAGGCUGAGCGCCGCGAAGGCCGGGAUGCCGCUUCUCGCGUAUGGGUGAGGAGCCGUGGUUCGUUCAGUUCAGCAGAGCGCCAUCGCCGCCCCUGAAGUCCAGCUCUUAGGAUCAGCGCUCAGAACCCCAGACUCUGUGACGUCGUUGUAGAUGCAAAGUUGUCUCUGGUACAGGCCAAAGUGAUUCAUUUCAUGGUAUUGAUUUAUGUUGCCUUUUCUAAAAGUACAGUUAUUUCUAAAUAAAGACAACAUUUAAAAGUUAAGAAGUAAAUUACAAUAACGUUACUUAAAUUAUCAGCUUAAAAAUAAGGAACCUCACAUUACAUAGCAAAUAUAUCCUCGGAAAGUUGCAAGCGAGUGCAUUUUUUGUACGUAAUGUCUUAUUUUCCUGUUGACUUAUAAUGAGAAAUUCAAAAAAUCUAUUUCCUCCCAAAGAACAAUAUUGGCCCCAUUACACUAAAAAUUACACUGGAUCCUGCCAUUUCCUUUGUCAUUGUGGAACCAACAUGUUCCAGCCGUGACGUAAUCCUUCCAAUUCCUGGCUCCCGCUCUCCUCCAAGACUUUCCCGCAGGUCAUUGCAGAUCGCCACCUUCUGCCAAAGGUUUUCACCGACUCUCUGGUCCGACGAGGAACGCUGCUGAGCCUGACUCUAGCAGGAGGAAUAUGAGCCACAAUUGUAUGAAAAUCUUUCCUGGACACCUUCGGAUAAGAUGAAAUAAACUUGGAGAAUGGCAUCUGUGUUGGAAGAAAGUUCUGGACUCCACAGUGGCUUGCUCCAGAAAAGCCAAACCAUCAGCUCUCUUGACAGCACAGAGAAUGCCAGUGUGUGGGAAACAGACCGCGGUCACCCUGAGCGGCAAGGGGCUUUCCAGUGCUUAGGCUCUGAAUGUGAAACAUUUUAGAAAGAGAUGAAACAAUUUUUUUCGCUUGUAUUUUCCUAUGUGUUUGAAGGUCGAUAGAUGAUAAAAAUGUGUCUGAAUAAGUCUGAUUUAGUCUCAAAGAUCUCUUUCAAUAAACCUAAACAUUUCAAACAGAUAAGACAGGAUUGUGUGAUAGUUUAAUUGGUGGUUG
Molecule: long non-coding RNA, 4484 nt
Filed under: Homo sapiens (human)
Lineage: Eukaryota; Metazoa; Chordata; Mammalia; Primates; Hominidae
Description: HSALNT0395146
Source: RNAcentral